AAUAUUCUGUUGUGCUGCAGCAAGUAAGAAUUUAAUUGUCCUAUCUGGGACACAUGACAAUAAAACACACUCGACUCAUUUUGAGUUAUAAAUUAGAGAAUUCAAUGUUCGCUGUCCCUCCUCCCAGAUGCAACAAGGACAUAGUUCCUUUUGUCCUCACCUUUCACUUAACCCCCCCCACCCUCGUCUCCUCAUCCAAUAUAUUAGCCUCCAACAGUUCCGUCAUCUCCUAAGGUUUGCCCACCACUAAUCACAUUUUUCCAUCAAAGAUUAUAGAGGAGAUCUUUGCUUUCCAUCUCCACCCUUUCUGCCUUCCGCAGUUACUUUCAGUCUGAAGAAGGGUCUCGAUCCGAAACGUCGCCUAUUCCUUCUCUCCAGAGAUGCUGCCUGACCAGCAAAGUUACUCCAGCAUUUUGUAUACGAAGGAACUGCAGAUGCUGGAAAAUCGAAGGUAGACAAAAAUGGUGGAGAAACUCAGUGGGCGAGGCAGCAUCUGUGGAACGAAGGGUCUCGCCCUGAAACGUCGCCUAUUCCUUCCCUCCAGAGAUGCUGCCUGACAACCAGCUAAAUUGUUACUCCAGCAUUUGCAUCUAACUUCGGUGAAUGAAAUGCUGGCGGUGGAGCAGACUGCCACCCAGAGGCGAUGCUCAGUAACUGCAAGUCGGCGGCAAUUUGGCAAAAGCUGCUUCCUUUUAAGGAAGAAAUGCAAAUGAAGCGAGUAGCAGGGAAAAGCGGGCAAAUGUGAAAAAGAUCAGAGGCAAAACGAGAAAUGAAAGGCGAAAAUAUGUCCUUUUUUCUGUUUUCGGCAAUCAAGUGCAAUAUAAGAUGUUAAAACUGGCUCGUACUGACUUGAAAGAGUAAUGGUAGAGGUUGGCUGGGAGGAGCAACGAUAUUCUAGCAUACUUACCUGGCAGGGGAGACACCAUGAUCACCAAGGUGGUUCUCCCAGGACGAGGCUAUCCCAUUGCACUUCGGGUGUGCUGACGCCUGCGAUGUCCCCAAAUGCGGGAUACUCGACUGCAAAAUUUGUGGUAGUGGGGGACUGCGUUCGCGCUCUCCCCUGAUUUACAAAUGAAAAAUAGA
Leucoraja erinaceus (little skate) is the source of this 1083-nucleotide long non-coding RNA. RefSeq lists it as uncharacterized. The record is from RefSeq and is a predicted model, not a curated record. The transcript has 2 exons. Lineage: Eukaryota; Metazoa; Chordata; Chondrichthyes; Rajiformes; Rajidae.